AGUGAACGCUGGCGGUAGGCCUAACACAUGCAAGUCGAACGGCAGCACAGUAAGCGCUUGCUCUUACGGGUGGCGGUUGGCGGACGGGUGAGGAAUACAUCGGAAUCUACUUUUUCGUGGGGGAUAACGUAGCGAAACUUACGCUAAUACCGCAUACGACCUACGGGUGAAAUCCGGGGAUCUUCGCACCUUGCGCGAUUGAAUGAGCCGAUGCCGGAUUAGCUAGUUUGCGGGGUAAGGGCCCACCAAGGCGACGAUCCGUAGCUGGCCUGAGCGCAUGUAGACCCACACUGGAACUGAGACACGGUCCACACUCCUACGGGAGGCAGCAGUGGGGAAUAUUCGACAAUGGGCGCAAGCCUGACCCAGCCAUACCGCGCGAGUGAUGAAGGCCCUCGGUGUGUAAAGCCCUUUUCUUGGGAAAGAAAAGCAGCAGCAUAAUCCCCCGCUGUUCUGACGGUACCCAAAGAAUAAGCACCGGCUAACUUCGUG
This 492-nucleotide ribosomal RNA is filed under the name uncultured bacterium. RNAcentral's name for it is "partial 16S ribosomal RNA". It matches the Rfam family "Bacterial small subunit ribosomal RNA", at positions 29 to 507 of the family's 1533-position model. The record is from RNAcentral.